UCACCACGAGGAGGACUAUAUUAUGGAAGCUGUACGUAGUACCUGCCCGCAGCAGCCGAAUGCUCAUGCCAAGGGCUCCGGCGGUGCUGCUGCUGGGCACACCGUGGCCCCCCACGCCACAACCAAUGUGUGCUGCCAACGUCUCCGGUGAUCUGCUCAGGAUUAUCACGAGGAGGAGGACUUUAUGGCAGCUGGAAGAAGCUGUACGUAGUAGCCUCAUGCUGAUGGCAAGGGUUCCGGCAGUGUUGCCACUGGGGCUGGGCACAAUGUGGCCUCCCAUGCCGCAACCGUGGGGUGGUGGCAACGGCUACACCAUCUCCGAGUUUCUUGCUGCUGCCCGUCCUGAAUAUGGAGCGUGUCUUGUAGGUGAAUAAUGGCCAACAGGUUCAGGACGUCUUCCUCCACCGGACGCGGGGGAAAAGAACGAGUGCAAUGGAUAGGAUUAUCACGACGAGGACUGUAUGGUAGCUGGAAGAAGCUGUAGUAGCUGCCCGCAGCAGCCUCUUGCUCAUGGCAAGGGCUCCAGCGGUGCUGCUGCUGCUGCUGGGUACACCCUCGCCUCCCACGCCGCAACCGUGGGGUGCUGGCAAUGGCUACACCAUCUCCGGUGAUCUGCUCAGGUUCCCUUCUUCCUCUUCUGCAUGCUCUCUAGGUUGGCUGCAGCUAUUUAGUGGUUGUCUCCUGUCCAGGACAUCAUAAAUAUAUUGGCCCUGUCUUGUUCUUUAGUACUAGUCCUACUCAUGCCUCCCCGAUGGACUUUGUUCAUCUUCAAGUUAUUUCUGUUUCCAAGUAAUUGUUUGCUUCUCAUUACGACAAUGCUUGUAGAAUGUAGAUACAUAUGAAUUCUCAAGCUUGUGUGUAGCUCAGUCAAGAUUUUGCUGUUGGCACCCUCAAGUUCGUCCCCCAUCU
RNA transcript from Lolium rigidum, 909 nucleotides. RefSeq lists it as uncharacterized. NCBI's taxonomy places the organism in Eukaryota, Viridiplantae, Streptophyta, Magnoliopsida, Poales, Poaceae. The transcript is spliced from 4 exons. The record is from RefSeq and is a predicted model, not a curated record.